Helianthus annuus (common sunflower) is the source of this 372-nucleotide long non-coding RNA. RefSeq lists it as uncharacterized. The transcript has 3 exons. NCBI's taxonomy places the organism in Eukaryota, Viridiplantae, Streptophyta, Magnoliopsida, Asterales, Asteraceae. The record is from RefSeq and is a predicted model, not a curated record.
GAUGGUUUUGAAGAUAUUGUGGUUCUAGAGUGUAAGGACGAUGGCUGUAACAGUAAGACUGUUUACUCCGUUCCGAGGAUCAGGGUUCCGAUACGGGUUCAGGAUUGUACAGGGAUUGUGACGCUCACCCUAUUUGAGCGUGAGGUGCUUAGGCUGUUGAAGGUUAACGCGACUCAGCUGUUGGAUAAGAACCUUGAUUUAGCUAACGAAGGGAAUUUUCCGCAAGAACUCAAUGCUCUACUUAACAGGAAGUUUGCAUUCAAGAUAUCCAUCGGUUCAUUUAACAUAAAAAACAAAUCGGAUGGUUACUCUAUUUCAAAAUUAACAGACAAUCAAACUGUUAUUGGCGAACUAGAUAAAAUUUUCGAUGUC